Ictidomys tridecemlineatus (thirteen-lined ground squirrel) is the source of this 71-nucleotide non-coding RNA. Lineage: Eukaryota; Metazoa; Chordata; Mammalia; Rodentia; Sciuridae. The record is from Rfam.
GAGGUUGUAGCUCAGUGGUAGUGUGCUUGCUUAGCAUGCAUGAGGCACUGGGUUCGAUUCUCAGCACCACA